Molecule: transfer RNA, 71 nt
Filed under: Ovis aries (sheep)
Lineage: Eukaryota; Metazoa; Chordata; Mammalia; Artiodactyla; Bovidae
Rfam family: tRNA
About the family: Transfer RNA (tRNA) molecules are approximately 80 nucleotides in length.
Source: Rfam by way of RNAcentral
UCUCUGGUGGUCUAAUGGCUAAGACUCCUGCUCCCAAUGCAGGGGGCCAGGGUUCAAUCCCUGCUCGGGGA